Molecule: unclassified non-coding RNA, 250 nt
Filed under: plant metagenome
Description: partial contains small subunit ribosomal RNA, internal transcribed spacer 1, and 5.8S ribosomal RNA
Source: RNAcentral
GUAGGUGAACCUGCGGAAGGAUCAUUAACACGUGUCCCACGUAUAAAACCAAACCGUGAACAUUGAACGUAUAUCCGGAAGGAUGAGCCUGAUGGCGUCGGUAGUAAAGUCCAGGGCGACCUACUUCGGUGGGUGUACUCUGGGGUCCGCACAUUAGGUCUGUCCAGCCGUUAACCAAAACCAUUAUUCAUUAUUAUUAUCGUCUUAAGAACUGUCGUGCUGACUGUAGAGGAUAGGCGUAAGUCUUGAA